Molecule: ribosomal RNA, 888 nt
Filed under: uncultured bacterium
Lineage: Bacteria
Description: bacterial SSU rRNA
Rfam family: Bacterial small subunit ribosomal RNA
Source: RNAcentral
CUCAACCUCUUCGAGCCGUUGAAACUGGUUUUCUUGAGUGAGCGAGAAGUAUGCGGAAUGCGUGGUGUAGCGGUGAAAUGCAUAGAUAUCACGCAGAACUCCGAUUGCGAAGGCAGCAUACCGGCGCUCAACUGACGCUCAUGCACGAAAGUGUGGGUAUCGAACAGGAUUAGAUACCCUGGUAGUCCACACAGUAAACGAUGAAUACUAAUUGUUCGGGGAGAAUGAUCCCUGAGUGAUACAGCGAAAGCGUUAAGUAUUCCACCUGGGGAGUACGCCGGCAACGGUGAAACUCAAAGGAAUUGACGGGGGCCCGCACAAGCGGAGGAACAUGUGGUUUAAUUCGAUGAUACGCGAGGAACCUUACCCGGGCUCAAACGACACAGGAAUACUUUUGAAAGGAGGUAGCUCUACGGAGUCUGUGUCGAGGUGCUGCAUGGUUGUCGUCAGCUCGUGCCGUGAGGUGUCGGCUUAAGUGCCAUAACGAGCGCAACCCCCAUCGCCAGUUACCAGCAAGUCAAGUUGGGGACUCUGGCGAGACUGCCGGCGCAAGCUGUGAGGAAGGCGGGGAUGACGUCAAAUCAGCACGGCCCUUACGUCCGGGGCGACACACGUGUUACAAUGGCAGGUACAGAGAGAAGCAAUGCGGCGACGCAAAGCGGAACUUGAAAGCCUGUCUCAGUUCGGAUUGGAGUCUGCAACUCGACUCCAUGAAGCUGGAUUCGCUAGUAAUCGCGCAUCAGCCAUGGCGCGGUGAAUACGUUCCCGGGCCUUGUACACACCGCCCGUCAAGCCAUGGAAGCCGGGAGUGCCUGAAGUGAGCAACCGCAAGGAGCGCCCUAAGGUAAAACUGGUGACUGGGGCUAAGUCGUAACAAGGUAGCCGUAA